UAAGGACUGUACUGAGGUUUGGCUGGAGCUAAAACGGUGGGAAGAUAUGGAGCCCUGGACCAGUACCAGUGACAGUGCGAGCACRCAUGAUGAAACCAACCAGCCCAGCUCUGCAGAAGGAUUCUUUUUGGCCAUGAAGGGCUUGAGAGAGGAAAUCUACCCUGGAGAUCGACUUCUGAAAGUUAGAGUUUUACUAGUAAUUUGAUCUUCUAUUCUGAUCCUUCAUAGCAUUUUCACUCUUGUGAAUGAACAUGUGCCUCUCGUGGCUUCAGCCAGAUCAGCACUACAGUGGGGUCUGUCAUGUCAGCAUCACCUGUUGGCUGGGAACAGCUGAGUGAGCACACAUCUAGGUGACUCUCACUCAGGAAAUUAAUACAAGGAAUUUUCAAAAUAGGACUCUGCUAUUGUCAAUACCAUCAAAGGGGCGAGGGUGACGGGCGAGUGAAGAGUUAACAGGACUGAAGUUUGUCAAUUGAUAUGCAGAAGAACUGAUAGCACAAGAGCUGACGUGCGCAAAGCUGUUGAACAGAGGACUUAACAGGACUAAAGUCGUCUACCAACCGAUAUGUGCAAGGACUGAUAUGCGCAAGGCUGCGGAAUGGCAGCAUUAACAAGACGGAAGAAGUCUGCCACCUGGAAUCUGCACGGACCCCCGGGGAGGGAAGAAACAACACGGAGGUGUUGUGGUCUUGCCUCGCUAGCAGGGUCCUCCCAAGCAGACAAACAAACAGUCCUGUGAUUGUGAAACUCGCAAAAAGUCAGCAGCAAAAGCAGUGUUUGCCCAGAGCCCCAGCCGUAUAAAAAGAGACUUGGGAGCUAGGAGAGUUUGAGCAGGGACGGGAACGUGACCUGACCAUCCUCUCCGGCUGGACCGUGAGUAUCCCCCCCCCUCCCCUUUUCCUGGGACGCUGGGUUAAGGUAACUCCUCGAGGUUGAGAGCCCUCUCACUAGGAGAGUGAACAAGAAAGCUUUCAAGUAGGGAUAAGCAGUGCUUCCAAUUAAUAACGCAGUAAUCGACGGUUUCAGGUUAUCCUUUCUAAAUUAGUAACUGAUGGUUUUGUGUUAUCCUUUCUAAAUUAGUAAUCGCA
This 1088-nucleotide long non-coding RNA is filed under the name Apteryx rowi (Okarito brown kiwi). RNAcentral describes it as "lncRNA (ENSARWG00000001054.1)". The record is from RNAcentral. Lineage: Eukaryota; Metazoa; Chordata; Aves; Apterygiformes; Apterygidae.